This 435-nucleotide ribosomal RNA is filed under the name uncultured bacterium. RNAcentral describes it as "bacterial SSU rRNA". It matches the Rfam family "Bacterial small subunit ribosomal RNA", at positions 366 to 793 of the family's 1533-position model. The record is from RNAcentral.
GCACAAGUGGGGAAACCCUGAUGCAGCCAUGCCGCGUGUGUGAAGAAGGCCUUCGGGUUGUAAAGCACUUUCAGUAGGGAGGAAGGUAGUGUAGUUAACACCUGCAUUAUUUGACGUUACCUACAGAAGAAGCACCGGCUAACUCCGUGCCAGCAGCCGCGGUAAUACGGAGGGUGCGAGCGUUAAUCGGAAUUACUGGGCGUAAAGCGCAUGCAGGCGGCUUGUUAAGUCAGAUGUGAAAGCCGGGGCUUAACCUCGGAAUUGCAUUUGAAACUGGCAGGCUAGAGUCUUGUAGAGGGGGGUAGGAAUUUCAGGUGUAGCGGUGAAAUGCGUAGAGAUCUGAAGGAAUACCAGUGGCGAAGGCGGCCCCCUGGACAAAGACUGACGCUCAGAUGCGAAAGCGUGGGGAGCAAACAGGAUUAGAUACCCUGGUAG